Molecule: long non-coding RNA, 403 nt
Filed under: Salvia miltiorrhiza (redroot sage)
Lineage: Eukaryota; Viridiplantae; Streptophyta; Magnoliopsida; Lamiales; Lamiaceae
Description: long non-coding RNA (SMIL_LNC010367)
Source: RNAcentral
AAUGAUCCAUUAAGAUCAAAUGAGCGACUAUUGUUGCCAAAAUAGAAGGAAAAACCUUCAAUGUCUAACAUUAGAAUAGAGAUAGAAAGAACCAAAUAACAAUUAUUUAAAACUAGUUUAUUUCCCGAAGGAAAAUCUAAUCUAUAAGUUCUCACGCAUUCAGUAGCAACUCUUGCUCCAUUUCCCACUUGUAGAUCGACUUCCUCGAGUACCACUUUCCUAGUUUUGCUUAGGCCCUGCACAUUAUUACAAAUGUGUGAGCCACAUGCUACAUCUAAUACCCAUGAUUGUGAAUUAUCAAUAAACAUGUUUAUCUCAAUAACAAACAUACCUGGUGCACCUUGUGCCUUGUAUUUCGGGCAGUCUCUCUUCCAGUGCCCAUUUUCAUGACAGAAUAGGCACU